This 253-nucleotide ribosomal RNA is filed under the name uncultured bacterium. RNAcentral's name for it is "partial 16S ribosomal RNA". It matches the Rfam family "Bacterial small subunit ribosomal RNA", at positions 524 to 776 of the family's 1533-position model. The record is from RNAcentral.
UACGAAGGGGGCUAGCGUUGCUCGGAAUCACUGGGCGUAAAGGGUGCGUAGGCGGGUCUUUAAGUCAGGGGUGAAAUCCUGGAGCUCAACUCCAGAACUGCCCUUGAUACUGAGGAGCUUGAGUCCGGGAGAGGUGAGUGGAACUGCGAGUGUAGAGGUGAAAUUCGUAGAUAUUCGCAAGAACACCAGUGGCGAAGGCGGCUCACUGGCCCGGUACUGACGCUGAGGUGCGAAAGCGUGGGGAGCAAACAGG